GACGAACGCUGGCGGCGUGCUUAACACAUGCAAGUCGAACGGAAAGGCCCUGCUUUUGUGGGGUGCUCGAGUGGCGAACGGGUGAGUAACACGUGAGUAACCUGCCCUUGACUUUGGGAUAACUUCAGGAAACUGGGGCUAAUACCGGAUAGGAGCUCCUGCUGCGUGGUGGGGGUUGGAAAGUUUCGGCGGUUGGGGAUGGACUCGCGGCUUAUCAGCUUGUUGGUGGGGUAGUGGCUUACCAAGGCUUUGACGGGUAGCCGGCCUGAGAGGGUGACCGGCAACAUUGGGACUGAGAUACGGCCCAGACUCCUACGGGAGGCAGCAGUGGGGAAUAUUGCACAAUGGGCGGAAGCCUGAUGCAGCAACGCCGCGUGCGGGAUGACGGCCUUCGGGUUGUAAACCGCUUUCGCAUGUGACGAAGCGUGAGUGACGGUAAUGGGUAAAGAAGCACCGGCUAACUACGU
RNAcentral lists this ribosomal RNA (467 nucleotides) under uncultured bacterium. RNAcentral describes it as "partial 16S ribosomal RNA". It matches the Rfam family "Bacterial small subunit ribosomal RNA", at positions 28 to 506 of the family's 1533-position model. The record is from RNAcentral.